Rhipicephalus microplus (southern cattle tick) is the source of this 1206-nucleotide non-coding RNA. Lineage: Eukaryota; Metazoa; Arthropoda; Arachnida; Ixodida; Ixodidae. The record is from the annotation of a RefSeq genome assembly.
UAUAAUAAAAUUAAAAUAAUUUAAUCAAUUUAAUAAAUUUAUUUUAUUUUUAUUUUAUUUUUAAUAAACUGAAAAGGAAUUUAUUAUUAUAAUUUAAUAGAAAAAUUAAUGUACCUUUUGCAUUAGGGGCUUUUAAAAAAAAAUAAAAUUUUAUUUUUCUCGAAAUAUUUUGAGCUAAAAUUUAAUUUUUCUAAUGUUCCAAUAUUAAAAUAAAAUAAAUUUUAGAGGUGAAAUUCUUAUCAAAAAAUAUAAUAUCUAGUUAAAAAAAAUUAAUUAAAUAUUAUUUUGUAAAUAUUAAUUUAUUUUUUAAAACUACAAAAAAAAGUUUUUGGGAUAAGCUAAAAAUUAUUAAAUUUAUAAUAUUUUAAAAAAUAAUAAAAGAAUUAAAAUUUUUCUAUUUAUUUUUAUAAAUAAAUUAAGUUAAAUUGAAAUAAAAGAAUUUAUUUUUUUAAAUUAAAUUUAAUUAAAAAUUUAAAAAAAAAUGAAAAUAUUAGUAAAAAAAUUUUUUUUUAUUAUUAAUAAUUAAUUAAAAAUUAAUUUAAUUUAAUUUAAUUUUUAAGAACUAGGCAAUUAUUUUUUUUGACUGUUUAAUAAAAACAACGCAUUUAGAUAAACAAUAAAUGCAAAUCCUGCUCAAUGAAAUUUUUUUUAAAUUGCUGUAGUAUUUUGACUAUACAAAGGUAUUGAAAUAAGAUUUUAAUUGAAUGCUAAGAGAAUGGAAUAUCAAAAAACAACUUUCUUAAAAUUAAAAAUUGAAAUUUUUUUAAUUUGUGUAAAAACAAUUAUAAAAAUUAAAGACAAGAAGACCCUAAGAAUUUUUAAAAUUUAAAUAAUACAUUUUUUGUUUUAAUUAAAUUUUAACUGGGGCGGUUAAAAAAUAUUAAAAACUUUUUAAUUUAAAAAUGACCCAUUAUUAAUGAAAAUAUGAUUAAAUACUCUAGGGAUAACAGCGUUAUAUUUUUUGAUAGAUCAUAUUGACAAAAAAGUUUGCGACCUCGAUGUUGGAUUAGGAUACUUUUUUAAUGAAGAUAUUAAAAUAAGAAGUUUGUUCAACUUUUAAAUUCCUACAUGAUCUGAGUUUAGACCGAUGAGAAUCAGGUUGGAUUCUAUCUUAAUAAAAAACAAAUUUUAUUUAGUACGAAAGGAAUUUUAAAAUCUAAUUUUUAGUUUUAUUUAUUUAUUUUAUUUGCAUCAAUUUUUGUAAUU